Molecule: ribosomal RNA, 400 nt
Filed under: phytoplankton environmental sample
Lineage: Eukaryota
Description: partial small subunit ribosomal RNA
Rfam family: Eukaryotic small subunit ribosomal RNA
Source: RNAcentral
AGCUCCAAUAGCGUAUAUUUUAGUUGUUGCAGUUAAAAAGCUCGUAGUAGAAUUUCUGGUGGGGGAAUGCAGUUCAAGCUAUGCUUGAUACUCGCACUCUCCGGCCAUCUUUGAGUGGAGCCUGUCUGGCAUUAAGUUGUCGGGCUGGGGAUGCUCAUCGUUUACUGUGAAAAAAUUAGAGUGUUCAAAGCAGACUUAUGUCGUUGAAUAUAUUAGCAUGGGAUAAUAAGAUAAGACUUCGGUACUAUUUUGUUGGUUAGGUGCCGUUGUAAUGAUGAACAGGGACAGUUGUGGGUAUUCGUAUUCACUUGUAAGAGGUGAAAUUCUUAGAUUAAGGGAAGACGAACUACUGCGAAAGCAUUUACCAAGGAUGUUUUCAUUUAUCAAGAACGAAAGUAGG